AUUGAACGCUGGCGGCAGGCCUAACACAUGCAAGUCGAGCGGAUGAAGGGAGCUUGCUCCUGGAUUCAGCGGCGGACGGGUGAGUAAUGCCUAGGAAUCUGCCUGGUAGUGGGGGAUAACGUCCGGAAACGGGCGCUAAUACCGCAUACGUCCUGAGGGAGAAAGUGGGGGAUCUUCGGACCUCACGCUAUCAGAUGAGCCUAGGUCGGAUUAGCUAGUUGGUGGGGUAAAGGCCUACCAAGGCGACGAUCCGUAACUGGUCUGAGAGGAUGAUCAGUCACACUGGAACUGAGACACGGUCCAGACUCCUACGGGAGGCAGCAGUGGGGAAUAUUGGACAAUGGGCGAAAGCCUGAUCCAGCCAUGCCGCGUGUGUGAAGAAGGUCUGCGGAUUGUAAAGCACUUUAAGUUGGGAGGAAGGGCAGUAAGUUAAGACCUUGCUGUUUUGACGUGACCAACAGAAUAAGCACCGGCUAACUUCGU
Molecule: ribosomal RNA, 483 nt
Filed under: uncultured bacterium
Lineage: Bacteria
Description: partial 16S ribosomal RNA
Rfam family: Bacterial small subunit ribosomal RNA
Source: RNAcentral